Rhipicephalus microplus (southern cattle tick) is the source of this 464-nucleotide long non-coding RNA. RefSeq lists it as uncharacterized. The record is from RefSeq and is a predicted model, not a curated record. Lineage: Eukaryota; Metazoa; Arthropoda; Arachnida; Ixodida; Ixodidae.
AUGCAUUUGGAGAUUACUCGUUUUUCGUAGAAGAAAAGAUGCAACUGAAAACAAAAGAAAAGUAAGACUACAAAUCCGUUGUGGUUGAUUUCGCUUCCCUCGCGCAGAUCACUACAGGCGACCUUACAUCAUUCUUGUCGGAGUACAAAGGUUGUUGAAAAAAGAUGGAAUCGGCCCCAUUAAUGGUAUUACUCGCAACACCAUUCCUUGCUUUGUUGCUCAGCGCAGAAUGGGCCCUAGGUUCCCCUGAAGUGAAGUACCGGGACCAGCAGCAUCAUGGCAAAAGCGGGAUUAUGAAAUCGGAGCACCUUACCAUACAAGAAUACUGCGAAAGAUAUACAUGCGAGAAAUAUGAGUGUCCUCAAGGUUGCCAAUGCCCAGGAGUUUUCUACCGUUUAUUCGUCAACUCUAAAUGCUUUUUUCACGAGUUUAAAUAGAGAAAUAAAGUAUUUUUCGCCCUCUCG